AGACCCGAAACCCGGUGAUCUAGCCAUGGGCAGGUUGAAGGUUGGGUAACACUAACUGGAGGACCGAACCGACUAAUGUUGAAAAAUUAGCGGAUGACCUGUGGCUGGGGGUGAAAGGCCAAUCAAACCGGGAGAUAGCUGGUUCUCCCCGAAAGCUAUUUAGGUAGCGCCUCGUGAAUUCAUCUCCGGGGGUAGAGCACUGUUUCGGCUAGGGGGCCAUCCCGGCUUACCAACCCGAUGCAAACUGCGAAUACCGGAGAAUGUUAUCACGGGAGACACACGGCGGGUGCUAACGUCCGUCGUGAAGAGGGAAACAACCCAGACCGCCAGCUAAGGUCCCAAAGUCAUGGUUAAGUGGGAAACGAUGUGGGAAGGCCCAGACAGCCAGGAUGUUGGCUUAGAAGCAGCCAUCAUUUAAAGAAAGCGUAAUAGCUCACUGGUCGAGUCGGCCUGCGCGGAAGAUGUAACGGGGCUAAACCAUGCACCGAAGCUGCGGCAGCGAACGUAUCACUUAAAGCGAUUCAGCGGAUGACGAUUGACGGAGCGAAGCGACGUCAAAGCGUAUACAAAGUCGAGUCGGUUUAAGGAUACGUUCGUUGGGUAGGGGAGCGUUCUGUAAGCCUGUGAAGGUGGCCUGUGAGGGUUGCUGGAGGUAUCAGAAGUGCGAAUGCUGACAUAAGUAACGAUAAAGCGGGUGAAAAGCCCGCUCGCCGGAAGACCAAGGGUUCCUGUCCAACGUUAAUCGGGGCAGGGUGAGUCGACCCCUAAGGCGAGGCCGAAAGGCGUAGUCGAUGGGAAACGGGUUAAUAUUCCCGUACUUGGUGUUACUGCGAAGGGGGGACGGAGAAGGCUAUGUUGGCCGGGCGACGGUUGUCCCGGUUUAAGCGUGUAGGUGUGUGUUCCAGGUAAAUCCGGUUCACUUUAACACUGAGGCGUGAUGACGAGGCACUACGGUGCUGAAGCAACAAAUGCCCUGCUUCCAGGAAAAGCCUCUAAGCAUCAGGUAACACGAAAUCGUACCCCAAACCGACACAGGUGGUCAGGUAGAGAAUACCAAGGCGCUUGAGAGAACUCGGGUGAAGGAACUAGGCAAAAUGGUGCCGUAACUUCGGGAGAAGGCACGCUGACACGUAGGUGAAGUGAUUUACUCAUGGAGCUGAAGUCAGUCGAAGAUACCAGCUGGCUGCAACUGUUUAUUAAAAACACAGCACUGUGCAAACACGAAAGUGGACGUAUACGGUGUGACGCCUGCCCGGUGCCGGAAGGUUAAUUGAUGGGGUCAGCGCAAGCGAAGCUCCUGAUCGAAGCCCCGGUAAACGGCGGCCGUAACUAUAACGGUCCUAAGGUAGCGAAAUUCCUUGUCGGGUAAGUUCCGACCUGCACGAAUGGCGUAAUGAUGGCCAGGCUGUCUCCACCCGAGACUCAGUGAAAUUGAACUCGCUGUGAAGAUGCAGUGUACCCGCGGCAAGACGGAAAGACCCCGUGAACCUUUACUAUAGCUUGACACUGAACAUUGAGCCUUGAUGUGUAGGAUAGGUG
This 1539-nucleotide ribosomal RNA is filed under the name Salmonella enterica subsp. enterica serovar Bovismorbificans. RNAcentral describes it as "partial 23S ribosomal RNA". It matches the Rfam family "Bacterial large subunit ribosomal RNA", at positions 711 to 2149 of the family's 2925-position model. Lineage: Bacteria; Pseudomonadati; Pseudomonadota; Gammaproteobacteria; Enterobacterales; Enterobacteriaceae. The record is from RNAcentral.